This 62-nucleotide transfer RNA is filed under the name Dipodomys ordii (Ord's kangaroo rat). It matches the Rfam family "tRNA", at positions 6 to 65 of the family's 71-position model. Rfam says of the family: Transfer RNA (tRNA) molecules are approximately 80 nucleotides in length. Their secondary structure includes four short double-helical elements and three loops (D, anti-codon, and T loops). Further hydrogen bonds mediate the characteristic L-shaped molecular structure. tRNAs have two regions of fundamental functional importance: the anti-codon, which is responsible for specific mRNA codon recognition, and the 3' end, to which the tRNAs corresponding amino acid is attached (by aminoacyl-tRNA synthetases). tRNAs cope with the degeneracy of the genetic code in two manners: having more than one tRNA (with a specific anti-codon) for a particular amino acid; and 'wobble' base-pairing, i.e. permitting non-standard base-pairing at the 3rd anti-codon position. The record is from Rfam by way of RNAcentral. Lineage: Eukaryota; Metazoa; Chordata; Mammalia; Rodentia; Heteromyidae.
UGUGGCUCAGUGGUAGAGCACUUGCCUAGCAUGCAUGAAGCCCUGGGUUUGAUUCCUCAGCA